GAGACAAGCUACGAAGGGCACAUGGUGGAUGCCUUGGCAUCGAGAGCCGAAGAAGGACGUAGUAGCCUGCGAUAAGCCCUGGGGAGUUGGCAAACGAACUGUGAUCCGGGGAUGUCCGAAUGGGGAAACCCAGCUGGAGUCAUGUCCAGUUACCCGCGCCUGAAUAUAUAGGGCGUGUGGAGGGAACACCGGGAAGUGAAACAUCUCAGUACCGGUAGGAAGAGAAAACAACAGUGAUUCCGAGAGUAGUGGCGAGCGAAAUCGGAACAGGCCAAACCUCAUCUGUGUGAUAGCCGGCAGGCGUUGCAGGUGGGGGGUUGUGGGACCAUUCAGAAUCUGCUGCCGUGGGUUCAGGAAGUCAUAAAAUCUGGUUGAAGUCCAAUUCCGUUGGAAAGCGGAGCCGUAGAGGGUGAUAGCCCCGUAAGCGUAAGGCCAGGUCUUCCGAGUGGUAUCCCAAGUAACACGGAACCCCUGAAAUUCCGUGUGAAUCUGGCGGGACCACCCGUUAAGCCUAAAUACUCCUCGAUGACCGAUAGCGGACAAGUACCGUGAGGGAAAGGUGAAAAGUACCCCUGGCGGGGAGUGAAAUAGUACCUGAAACCGUGUGCCUACAAUCCGUUGGAGCCUUGUACUUGUAUGGGGUGACAGCGUGCCUUUUGAAGAAUGAGCCUGCGAGUUUGCGUUGUGUUGCGAGGUUAACCCGUGUGGGGUAGCCGUAGCGAAAGCGAGUCCGAAUAGGGCGUUUGAGUAGCACGAUCAAGACCCGAAGCGGAGUGAUCUAUCCAUGGGCAGGUUGAAGCGCGGGUAAGACCGCGUGGAGGACCGAACCCACUUAGGUUGAAAACUGAGGGGAUGACCUGUGGAUAGGGGUGAAAGGCCAAUCAAACUCCGUGAUAGCUGGUUCUCCCCGAAAUGCAUUUAGGUGCAGCGUUGUGUGUUUCUUGCCGGAGGUAGAGCACUGGAUAGCCGAUGGGCCCGACCAGGUUACUGACGUUAG
Molecule: ribosomal RNA, 997 nt
Filed under: Nocardioides flavescens
Lineage: Bacteria; Bacillati; Actinomycetota; Actinomycetes; Propionibacteriales; Nocardioidaceae
Description: Nocardioides sp. YIM 123512 partial 23S ribosomal RNA
Rfam family: Bacterial large subunit ribosomal RNA
Source: RNAcentral